AUGCCUCUACCUGGCAGGGGAGAUACCAUGACUGGCGAAGGUGGUUCACCCAGGAAGUAGCCUCAGCCAUUGCACUCCUCGAAGCCAGUGCUGACCUGCACUCCCCAAAUGUGGGAAUCUCGACUGCAUAAUUUGUGGUAGUGGGGACCGCGCCCGUCGCCUCCCCU
This is a small nuclear RNA of Hippoglossus stenolepis (Pacific halibut), 167 nucleotides long. RefSeq annotates it as U1 spliceosomal RNA. The record is from RefSeq and is a predicted model, not a curated record. The transcript has a single exon. Lineage: Eukaryota; Metazoa; Chordata; Actinopteri; Pleuronectiformes; Pleuronectidae.